UCGGGUGGCGAGCGGCGAACGGCUGAGUAACACGUUGGAACAUACCCCAGAGUGAGGGAUAACCCCGUGAAAACGGGACUAAUACCGCAUAACCCCGCAAGGGAAAAGCUACGGCGCUUUGGGAGUGGCCUGCGGCCUAUCAGUUAGUUGGUGAGGUAAAAGCUCACCAAGACUAUGACGGGUAUCUGGUGUGAGAGCACGACCAGACAGAAUGGGACUGAGACACGGCCCAUACUCC
This 238-nucleotide ribosomal RNA is filed under the name uncultured bacterium. Its description in RNAcentral is "partial 16S ribosomal RNA". It matches the Rfam family "Bacterial small subunit ribosomal RNA", at positions 84 to 339 of the family's 1533-position model. The record is from RNAcentral.